RNAcentral lists this long non-coding RNA (540 nucleotides) under Heterocephalus glaber (naked mole-rat). RNAcentral describes it as "lncRNA (ENSHGLG00100047781.1)". The record is from RNAcentral. Lineage: Eukaryota; Metazoa; Chordata; Mammalia; Rodentia; Bathyergidae.
AGGGCCUUAGGGCCAUGGCAAUGUUUGGCACCUGGACCUUUCCCAAGUCAUCUGAUCAGAGGGAGCAGUGCCAACGAGUGCACAGAGCAGGUUAUCAGCUACUUACUGUUGCUGAGAAAUUAGCUUUGCAAAUUGUUAGAGGACAAUUCAACAGCAUUAGAGAUGAAAAAUGAACCAGAAAAUGUAUUCAGAAGCCAUUGAAGACACUAUGAAAGAGGUCAGCACAUCUGCAGUGCAAUGGACAAGCCUCGCCCUGGGAAAACCACCUUCAUGAUCAUGGUAUCUCCCCUGCCAGAAAAAAGAAAUCCUUCUUGUAAAGCACCAUGGAAGUAAGUUAUGGCUUCACGCUUCUGGCAUUUGUUGACCGCUAAGCUUGGACCACAGCUCCCCUGACGUGCCAGGGCAGGGAUGAGAGCUUCCCCGACCAGGAAUCCCAAGCCAAUAAUGAAUCUUCUGUGGAGCUAUCAAUCAAAGUGGCUCCAUCCUCUUCUCUCCCAGGCACAGCCAUUGACACCCAGGUGGCCAUGUGACAAAGCAGCA